This 63-nucleotide transfer RNA is filed under the name Sinolapotamon patellifer. RNAcentral describes it as "tRNA-Trp". Lineage: Eukaryota; Metazoa; Arthropoda; Malacostraca; Decapoda; Potamidae. The record is from RNAcentral.
AAGAUUUUAAGUUAAAUAAACUAGAAGCCUUCAAAGCUUAAAAUAAAAUUAUUUUAAAUCUUA